Molecule: ribosomal RNA, 253 nt
Filed under: uncultured bacterium
Lineage: Bacteria
Description: partial 16S ribosomal RNA
Rfam family: Bacterial small subunit ribosomal RNA
Source: RNAcentral
UACGAAGGGGGCUAGCGUUGCUCGGACUCACUGGGCGUAAAGCGCACGUAGGCGGCUUUCUAAGUCAGGGGUGAAAUCCUGGAGCUCAACUCCAGAACUGCCUUUGAUACUGGAGAGCUUGAGUCCGGGAGAGGUGAGUGGAACUGCGAGUGUAGAGGUGAAAUGCGUAGAUAUCAAGAGGAACACCAGUGGCGAAGGCGAGUCCCUGGACAACUUCUGACGCUGAGGCACGAAAGCUAGGGGAGCAAACAGG